RNAcentral lists this microRNA precursor (76 nucleotides) under Myotis brandtii (Brandt's bat). RNAcentral's name for it is "mir-9229 microRNA precursor family". It matches the Rfam family "mir-9229 microRNA precursor family". Lineage: Eukaryota; Metazoa; Chordata; Mammalia; Chiroptera; Vespertilionidae. The record is from Rfam by way of RNAcentral.
GAGACAGCCUUAUGGAGCAGAACUUGUUUCAGUGGGACUUUUGUGCUCACUGAGUCUUCCCCUUGAGUGUGUCGCU